UUCCCCUCACUUGGUGUCUAGCUGUCGCUCUGGCAACACCUUCAUAUGCAAGCUCUCACUUAUGCUUGGCUCCUUAAUUCCAUGUGAUCCAACAAGAAGUGUCGGCCCACUGUUUUCCACAUGCACACAUCGGGGAAUCCACAGUGCUCCCUGUUUGUGCACGUGUCCCUACCUCCGCUCCCAUGCCAGACAAUCUUAACGGCUCUGGUCCCGUGCUCACAUCUAUACAGUUGACAUCACCACUGCAUUCGCCCCUGAAGAGUUGGUAUAUCCCAACGAAACGCGUUGGGAAUACAUAGAUGCAUGAUGUUCAUACAGAUGAUUUUAUGUCUUUUAUACUGUUUUACUCCCAGAUUCUCAUUAUACUAUCUAGCCCCUCCAGUGGUUCAUGUUGUGCAGGACUUGUCCUUACUCCACGAUAUGCCAAGUACC
Molecule: long non-coding RNA, 432 nt
Organism: Rana temporaria (common frog)
Lineage: Eukaryota; Metazoa; Chordata; Amphibia; Anura; Ranidae
Exons: 3
Source: RefSeq, a predicted model, not a curated record